CGUAGUAAUCUGCGAUAAGCUUCGGUUAGUUGAUAAACAAACUUUGAUCCGGAGAUUUCCGAAUGAGUAAACUCACUCUACAUAAGUAGAGUAUCUUCACCUGAAUAUAUAGGGUGUUAGAGGCAAACCUGGAGAACUGAAACAUCUAAGUACCCAGAGGAAAAGAAAUCAAUUGAGAUUUCCUUAGUAGCGGCGAGCGAAAAGGAAAUAGUCCAGUCACUAAAUCCAAGCAAAAACUAGCAAAAUAACCUGGAAAGGUUGGCCAUAGAAGGUGAUAGCCCUGUAUGCGAAAGUUUAGUUUGGUGGGUGACGAUGAGUAGAGCGGGACACGAGAAAUCUUGCUUGAACAUGGGGGGACCAUCCUCCAAGACUAAAUACUCUAUGCCGACCGAUAGUGAACUAGUACUGUGAAGGAAAGGCGAAAAGAACCCCGGUUAGGGGAGUGAAAUAGAACCUGAAACCGUAUGCGUACAAGCAGUGGGAGCCCUCUUUUGGGGGUGACUGCGUACCUUUUGUAUAAUGGGUCAGCGACUUACUUUUAGUAGCAAGCUUAACUUUAAUAAGGUAGGCGAAGGGAAACCGAGUCUUAAUAGGGCGUUUAGUUGCUAGGAGUAGACCCGAAACCGAGUGAUCUAUCCAUGGCCAGAGUGAAGGUGGGGUAAUUCCUACUGGAGGCUCGAACCCACUUAUGUUGAAAAAUGAGGGGAUGAGCUGUGGAUUGGAGUGAAAGGCUAAUCAAACUCGGAGAUAGCUGGUUCUCCGCGAAAGCUAUUUAGGUAGCGCCUCGUGUAUUACUAUUGGGGGUAGAGCACUGUUAUGGCUAGGGGGGCAUCCCGCCUUACCAAACCAUUGCAAACUCCGAAUACCAAUAAGUAGAGCACGGGAGACACACUGCGGGUGCUAACGUCCGUAGUGGAGAGGGAAACAACCCAGACCAACAGCUAAGGUCCCAAAAUUAUGACUAAGUGGAAAACGAAGUGGGAAGGCCCAGACAUCCAGGAGGUUGGCUUAGAAGCAGCCAUCCUUUAAAGAAAGCGUAAUAGCUCACUGGUUGAGUCGGCCUGCGCGGAAGAUUUAACGGGGCUCAAGUCAUAUACCGAAGCUUUGGACUCUAGUUUACUAGAGUGGUAGCGGAGCGUUCUGUAAGUCACUGAAGGUGUGUUGUGAAGCAUGCUGGAGAUAUCAGAAGUGCGAAUGCUGACAUAAGUAACGAUAAUGUAGGUGAGAACCCUACACGCCGAAAACCUAAGGUUUCCUCCGCAACGUCAAUCGGCGGAGGGUUAGUCGGUGCCUAAGACGAGGCCAAACGGCGUAGUCGAUGGAAAACAGGUUAAUAUUCCUGUACUUCUUUUUAUUGCGAUGGGGGGACGGAGCAGGUUAGGUCAGCCAGUUAACGGUUAUACUGGUUUAAGCAUGUAGGAAUGUUUCUUUGGUAAAUCCGGGAAACUUUAUUCCGAGACGCGAAUACGAAGUUCUUUCUUCGGGAAGAACGAAGUGAUUGAUACCAUACUUCCAAGAAAAACCUCUAAGCUUCAGAUAAAGAGAAGCCGUACCCUAAACGGACACACGUAGGUGGGAUGAGUAUUCUAAGGCGCAUGAGAGAACUCAGUUGAAGGAACUAGGCAAAAUGAUACCGUAACUUCGGGAGAAGGUAUGCCUUUUAUGUGAGAUCACUUGCUGAUUUAGCAGAAGAAGGUUGCAACAAAACGAUGGCUGCGACUGUUUACUAAAAACACAGCACUCUGCAAACUCGAAAGAGGAAGUAUAGGGUGUGACGCCUGCCCGGUGCCGGAAGGUUAAUUGAUGGGGUUAGCUGAUUUAUCAGCGAAGCUCUUGAUCGAAGCCCCGGUGAACGGCGGCCGUAACUAUAACGGUCCUAAGGUAGCGAAAUUCCUUGUCGGGUAAGUUCCGACCUGCACGAAUGGCGUAACGAUGGCCAUACUGUCUCCAACUGAGACUCAGUGAAAUUGAAAUUGCUGUGAAGAUGCAGUGUACGCGCGGCUAGACGGAAAGACCCCGUGCACCUUUACUACAGCUUUACACUGAACUUUGAAUUCAAUUGUGUAGGAUAGCUGGGAGCCUUUGAAGCUAAUGCGCUAGCAUUGGUGGAGGCACACUUGAAAUACCAGCCUAUUGCCUUUAGAGUUCUAACCCUGGACCGUUAUCCGGUUGGAG
RNAcentral lists this ribosomal RNA (2175 nucleotides) under marine metagenome. RNAcentral describes it as "bacterial LSU rRNA". It matches the Rfam family "Bacterial large subunit ribosomal RNA", at positions 57 to 2249 of the family's 2925-position model. The record is from RNAcentral.